CAGUAGCCGCGGUAAUACGUAGGUGGCAAGCGUUGUCCGGAAUUAUUGGGCGUAAAGCGCGCGCAGGUGGUUUAAUAAGUCUGAUGUGAAAGCCCACGGCUCAACCGUGGAGGGUCAUUGGAAACUGUUAAACUUGAGUGCAGGAGAGAAAAGUGGAAUUCCUAGUGUAGCGGUGAAAUGCGUAGAUAUAUGGAGGAACACCAGUGGCGAAGGCGACUCUCUGGUCUGUAACUGACGCUGAGGAGCGAAAGCGUGGGGAGCGAACAGGAUUAGAUACCCGUGUAGUCCCUGUCCUUAUACA
RNAcentral lists this ribosomal RNA (301 nucleotides) under uncultured bacterium. RNAcentral's name for it is "partial 16S ribosomal RNA". It matches the Rfam family "Bacterial small subunit ribosomal RNA", at positions 509 to 809 of the family's 1533-position model. The record is from RNAcentral.